RNAcentral lists this ribosomal RNA (325 nucleotides) under uncultured Limnofilidae. RNAcentral's name for it is "SSU rRNA". The stretch from base 58 to 325 matches the Rfam family "Eukaryotic small subunit ribosomal RNA", at positions 687 to 955 of the family's 1831-position model. The record is from RNAcentral. Lineage: Eukaryota; Cercozoa; Limnofilidae.
GAUUUCUGGUGUGGUGCGCUGAGUCCGCCCGUAAGGGUGAGUGCUUGUGCGUGCCUGCCAUAUUUCCCGAAUCGGUCAGUGUUCUGCCCUUCACUGGGUUGGAGCAUUGGUCUCGGGAUCAUUUACUUUGAAAAAAUUAGAGUGUUUAAAGCAGGCAUAUCGCUAUGAAUACAUUAGCAUGGAAUAAUAAGAUAGGACUUUGGUUCUAUUUUGUUGGUUUCUAGGACUGAAGUAAUGAUUGAUAGGGACAGUUGGGGGUGCUAGUAUUUAACGGCCAGAGGUGAAAUUCUUGGAUUCGUUAAAGACUAACUUAUGCGAAAGCAUU